This is a non-coding RNA of Podarcis lilfordi (Lilford's wall lizard), 88 nucleotides long. The record is from the annotation of a GenBank genome assembly. Lineage: Eukaryota; Metazoa; Chordata; Lepidosauria; Squamata; Lacertidae.
CUUCCAGUAGCACCUUAGAGACCAACUAGGUUGGUCAGAUACAAACUUCAGAUACAAACUUAGUUGCUCUCUAAGGUGCUACUGGAAG